UUAGUGGCUUACACGAUUAAUAAAUACUUUAUUAUUAAAUAAACUUUUAGCGAAAACUUUUGUAGCCACAGCUGUAGGCGUGUAGAGCGUCUCUAUCUAUUGGAAAAAAUAAACUAAGUUUUACGAAUGUUUUUGUAUCUUACCACCAGUAAUCGCGUGGCGCUACCAUUAAAUUCCAUCAACAAUACAAUAAUAUUGAAAACAACAAUGACUGGAAAAUGACGUCAACGAGUACUACAGUGGUUGUAUUUAGUAUCAUGUAUGAGUAGAGUAAUUUGACUGCUUAAGGGAUAGUUUGGAGCGCCACACAGUAAAGCACUUGGUGCACAUUUACAUAAUUCCAGUACAAAUUCAACAAAUAAUUCAAAACAGUAUAAAUUGUUCAGUAUGCUAUUUAAUCCUAAUGUUUUUUUAAAACUUGUAAAUAUUUAAUUAAACUUAAUUUUAAGUUAUUAAUUACAUUUUUGGGGAUUGGUAUGAUGUAAAAAAAAUUUUUUUUUUUUAAUAAUGAAUUACGAAAGCAAAUAAUAGCAAUAGAAAAGGUUCAACAUUAACAAAAUCUGAAAAAUUAUAACAUAAACAAAGUCUUGUGUUUGAUUAUAAUUUAAACGGUUCAUUGGGACACUUGUUAGCGUCAACGGUAUCAUCAAUUCCAAGUAGUUCAUUUUACCCAAAUGAUACUGUUGAAUCAGUAGUAGGUUUAAUGGACCAAAAAUAGAGUCCAGCACAGCGGUCAAAAACAGUAAUUGAGCCGAAUAAUUACACAGAACAGCUGUGGGAUGAACUGAAGGAUCGGCCAGACUUUUGCCGAAAUAUAGUUAACUCAAUGAAUAAACGUAUGCAAGAAGUUAUAGAAAAAGACGGUUAUUGGACUAAAUAUUAAUUAAUAAUUUUAUUGUAUAUAUAUAUAUAUAUACAUAUAUAUAUAUAUAUGUAUAGAAGUAUACAUAAAUAUAUAGAUAAUACAUCAUACAUUAAUAAAUCUGCAGAUACAAAACAUUUUUUUUUUUGAAUUGUACAAUCGCCGACAAUAAUUCGCCCCGGGUUGUGUUGCCCCCGGCUUGAUGAACUUUUCUAUUUCAGUACAUCUCUUUCAAAACAACAGUAAUAAAAAUAUUUGUAUAAAAGAUACUUCUAGUAUAAAAUUAGUUUUUUAUUUGAUAAAUCCAUUCUAAAUUUAAUAUCUCUAGGAUAAUCUAUUUAUUAAAACAAGACACAAUUUAAAUUUCUGUUAAAUAAAUUAUCUGUAAAAUUAAACAAAUGUAUGAAAAUAAUGUGGAAAAAAUAAAUUUCAAUUUUUUUAUAUUUCGAUUUUAUUCAUUAAUGAAAAAGAGAAAAUCUCUAUUGAUUAACUAAUGAAUAAAAUGUUUGCUGUCAUGAAGUCAUCUGUAUGGUGAAAAUAUGAGUAAAAAUUAUUGUCUAUAUUAAAUUGUUCUAUUGUGAAAAAAAUUAUAUUAUGCAAAAAUAAUAUUAUCUG
Molecule: long non-coding RNA, 1477 nt
Organism: Microplitis demolitor
Lineage: Eukaryota; Metazoa; Arthropoda; Insecta; Hymenoptera; Braconidae
Exons: 3
Source: RefSeq, a predicted model, not a curated record